RNAcentral lists this ribosomal RNA (497 nucleotides) under uncultured bacterium. Its description in RNAcentral is "partial 16S ribosomal RNA". It matches the Rfam family "Bacterial small subunit ribosomal RNA", at positions 28 to 507 of the family's 1533-position model. The record is from RNAcentral.
GACGAACGCUGGCGGCGUGCCUAAUACAUGCAAGUAGAACGCUGAAGCGAGGAGCUUCCUCUUCUUGGAUGAGUUGCGAACGGGUGAGUAACGCGUAGGUAACCUGCCUUGUAGCGGGGGAUAACUAUUGGAAACGAUAGCUAAUACCGCAUAACAAUGGAUGACACAUGUCAUUUAUUUGAAAGGGGCAAUUGCUCCACUACAAGAUGGACCUGCGUUGUAUUAGCUAGUAGGUGAGGUAAUGGCUCACCUAGGCGACGAUACAUAGCCGACCUGAGAGGGUGAUCGGCCACAAUGGGAAUGGGACACGGCCCAGACUCCUACGGGAAGGAGCAGUAGGGAAACUUCGGCAAUGGGGGCAAACCUUAACGAGCAACGCCGCGUGAGUGAAAAAGGUUUUCGGAUCGUAAAGCUCUGUUGUAAGUCAAGAAAGAGGGUGAGAGUGGAAAGUUCACACUGUGACGGUAGCUUACCAGAAAGGGACGGCUAACUCCGUG